This 106-nucleotide small nuclear RNA is filed under the name Aotus nancymaae (Ma's night monkey). The record is from RNAcentral. Lineage: Eukaryota; Metazoa; Chordata; Mammalia; Primates; Aotidae.
AUGGUCACUUUACAACAUAUAUACUAAAACUAGAACAAUACCAAGAAUAUUGGCACGGCCCCUACACGAGAAUUACAUGCAAAUUCCUGAAAUGUUAAAUUAAAAA